UACAGAGGGUGCAAGCGUUAAUCGGAAUUACUGGGCGUAAAGCGUGCGCAGACGGUUGCGUAAGUCAGAUGUGAAAGCCCCGGGCUCAACCUGGGAAUUGCAUUUGAGACUGCGUAGCUAGGGUGCGGAAGAGGGAAGCGGAAUUUCCGGUGUAGCGGUGAAAUGCGUAGAUAUCGGAAGGAACACCAGUGGCGAAAGCGGCUCCCUGGUCCAGCACCGACGUUCAGGCACGAAAGCGUGGGGAGCAAACAGG
Molecule: ribosomal RNA, 253 nt
Filed under: uncultured bacterium
Lineage: Bacteria
Description: partial 16S ribosomal RNA
Rfam family: Bacterial small subunit ribosomal RNA
Source: RNAcentral